GCACCCGUAGCUCAAUGGAUAGAGUGCCUGACUUCGAAUCAGUGGGUUGGGGGUUCGAGUCCCUCCGGGUGCG
Molecule: transfer RNA, 73 nt
Filed under: Chloroflexota bacterium
Lineage: Bacteria; Bacillati; Chloroflexota
Description: Chloroflexi bacterium tRNA-Arg
Rfam family: tRNA
About the family: Transfer RNA (tRNA) molecules are approximately 80 nucleotides in length. Their secondary structure includes four short double-helical elements and three loops (D, anti-codon, and T loops). Further hydrogen bonds mediate the characteristic L-shaped molecular structure. tRNAs have two regions of fundamental functional importance: the anti-codon, which is responsible for specific mRNA codon recognition, and the 3' end, to which the tRNAs corresponding amino acid is attached (by aminoacyl-tRNA synthetases). tRNAs cope with the degeneracy of the genetic code in two manners: having more than one tRNA (with a specific anti-codon) for a particular amino acid; and 'wobble' base-pairing, i.e. permitting non-standard base-pairing at the 3rd anti-codon position.
Source: RNAcentral